This 496-nucleotide ribosomal RNA is filed under the name uncultured bacterium. RNAcentral's name for it is "partial 16S ribosomal RNA". It matches the Rfam family "Bacterial small subunit ribosomal RNA", at positions 39 to 507 of the family's 1533-position model. The record is from RNAcentral.
GGGGGGGGGGGGGGGGGGGGGGGGGGGGGGGGGGGGGGGGGAGGGGGGGGGAGGUGGCUCGUCUGGCGGGAGCGGCGGGCGGGUGAGUAGCACGUGGAUAACCUACCUAUAAGACUGGGAUAACUUCGGGAAACCGGGGCUAAUACCGGAUAAUAUAUUGAACCGCAUGGUUCAAUAGUGAAAGACGGUUUUGCUGGCACUUCUAGAUGGAUCCGCGCCGGAUUAGCUAGCUGGUAAGGUAACGGCUUACCAAGGCAACGAUGCGUAGCCGACCUGAGAGGGUGACUGGCCACCCGGGAACUGAGACACGGUCCAGACUCCUACGGGAGGCAGCAGUAGGGAAUCUUCCGCAAUGGGCGAAAGCCUGACGGAGCAACGCCGCGUGAGUGAUGAAGGUCUUCGGAUCGUAAAACUCUGUUAUUAGGGAAGAACAAAUGUGUAAGUAACUAUGCACGUCUUGACGGUACCUAAUCAGAAAGCCACGGCUAACUACGUG